AACGUAGGACGCAAGCGUUAUCCGGAGUUACUGGGCGUAAAGGGCGUGUAGGCGGCGCUGCAAGUUCGUCGUGAAAGACCCCGGCUCAACCGGGGGAGGUCGAGGGAGACUGCGGCGCUGGAGGACGGUAGAGGGACAGGGAAUUCCGGGUGUAGUGGUGAAAUGCGUAGAGAUCCGGAGGAACACCAGUGGCGAAGGCGCUGUCCUGGGCCGUUGCUGACGCUGAGACGCGACAGCAUGGGGAGCGAACGGG
Molecule: ribosomal RNA, 253 nt
Filed under: uncultured bacterium
Lineage: Bacteria
Description: partial 16S ribosomal RNA
Rfam family: Bacterial small subunit ribosomal RNA
Source: RNAcentral